CCUACGGGUGGCAGCAGUGAGGAAUAUUUGUCAAUGGGCGCAAGCCUGAUCCAGCCAAGUAGCGUGAAGGAUGACUGCCCUACGGGUUGUAAACUUCUUUUAUAAAGGAAUAAAUUGAGGCGCGUGUACCUUUUUGUAUGUACUUUAUGAAUAAUGAUCGGCUACCCCGUGUCAGCAGCCUGGGUAAAACGGAGGUUCCGAGCGUUAUUCGGAAUUAUUGGGUUUAAAGGGUGCGUAGUCGGGUUGUUAAGGCAGUUGUGAAAGUGUGCGGCUCAACCGGAAAAUUGCAAUUGAUACUGGUAGUCUUGAGUACAGUGGGGGUAGGCGGAAUUCGUGGUGUAGCGGUGAAAUGCUUAGAUAUCACGAAGAACGCCGAUUGCGAAGGCAGCGUACUAAACUGCCACUGACAUUGAUGCUCGAAAGUGUGGGUAUCAAACAGGAUUAGAUACCCGUGUAGUC
RNAcentral lists this ribosomal RNA (459 nucleotides) under uncultured bacterium. RNAcentral's name for it is "partial 16S ribosomal RNA". It matches the Rfam family "Bacterial small subunit ribosomal RNA", at positions 338 to 795 of the family's 1533-position model. The record is from RNAcentral.